RNAcentral lists this transfer RNA (87 nucleotides) under Bacillota bacterium. RNAcentral describes it as "tRNA-Leu". It matches the Rfam family "tRNA". From Rfam's summary of the family: Transfer RNA (tRNA) molecules are approximately 80 nucleotides in length. Their secondary structure includes four short double-helical elements and three loops (D, anti-codon, and T loops). Further hydrogen bonds mediate the characteristic L-shaped molecular structure. tRNAs have two regions of fundamental functional importance: the anti-codon, which is responsible for specific mRNA codon recognition, and the 3' end, to which the tRNAs corresponding amino acid is attached (by aminoacyl-tRNA synthetases). tRNAs cope with the degeneracy of the genetic code in two manners: having more than one tRNA (with a specific anti-codon) for a particular amino acid; and 'wobble' base-pairing, i.e. permitting non-standard base-pairing at the 3rd anti-codon position. The record is from RNAcentral. Lineage: Bacteria; Bacillati; Bacillota.
GCGGGCGUGGCGGAAUAGGCAGACGCGCUAGCUUGAGGGGCUAGUGACCGCAAGGUCGUGAAGGUUCAAGUCCUUUCGCCCGCACCA